GUGCCUUGUCCCAGACUUCUCUGUGACUCCUACGGGAGGCAGCAGUGGGGAAUAUUGCACAAUGGGGGAAACCCUGAUGCAGCCAUGCCGCGUGUGUGAAGAAGGCCUUCGGGUUGUAAAGCACUUUCAGUAGGGAGGAAGGUAGUGUAGUUAACACCUGCAUUAUUUGACGUUACCUACAGAAGAAGCACCGGCUAACUCCGUGCCAGCAGCCGCGGUAAUACGGAGGGUGCGAGCGUUAAUCGGAAUUACUGGGCGUAAAGCGCAUGCAGGCGGCCUGUUAAGUCAGAUGUGAAAGCCCGGGGCUUAACCUCGGAAUUGCAUUUUGAAACUGGCAGGCUAGAGUCUUGUAGAGGGGGUAGAAGUUUCAGGUGUAGCGGUGAAAUGCGUAGAGAUCUGAAGGAAUACCAGUGGCGAAGGCGGCCCCCUGGACAAAGACUGACGCUCAGAUGCGAAAGCGUGGGGAGCAAACAGGAUUAGAUACCCUGGUAG
This 492-nucleotide ribosomal RNA is filed under the name uncultured bacterium. Its description in RNAcentral is "bacterial SSU rRNA". It matches the Rfam family "Bacterial small subunit ribosomal RNA", at positions 310 to 793 of the family's 1533-position model. The record is from RNAcentral.